This is a small nucleolar RNA of Tupaia belangeri (northern tree shrew), 120 nucleotides long. The record is from Ensembl. Lineage: Eukaryota; Metazoa; Chordata; Mammalia; Scandentia; Tupaiidae.
CAGCAUGUUUCCAAGGGCUGUGGCUGCUGGUGGCCACGGGUUCUCCAACGGCAUGCAAGAAUAACAUGGAGGGGGAACCAGCAGUUAGCCUAAUGACUAUGUUGCUGGACUCCCACAUAG